Molecule: ribosomal RNA, 253 nt
Filed under: uncultured bacterium
Lineage: Bacteria
Description: partial 16S ribosomal RNA
Rfam family: Bacterial small subunit ribosomal RNA
Source: RNAcentral
CACGUAGGGUCCGAGCGUUGUCCGGAAUUACUGGGCGUAAAGCGUGCGCAGGCGGUUGGGUCAGUCGCUGGUGAAAGCCCCACGCUCAACGUGGGAAUGGCCAACGAGACGGCCCGACUGGAGGCAGGGAGAGGCCGGUGGAAUUCCGGGUGUAGUGGUGAAAUGCGUAGAGAUCCGGAAGAACACCGGUGGCGAAGGCGGUCUGCUGGGCCAACACUGACGCUGAGGCGCGACAGCGUGGGGAGCAAACAGG